UUUGUAAUGUCAGUUGUAAAGUUGAUACAACAAAUCACAGCACAGAUUGAUGGGUACACUCCCUGCUUUUACAUCCUGCUUUGCUCCUAUGGGUCCACUCGCAAUGGCCGCUAGUCCACCCAUUAUGCCAUCGUUGACUUGAAUGGGGAAGCUGUUCUAUUCAUUCUAUUUCCAUGUGUAGGACGACAUGGAUCAGGAGAAACCCUUUUCAGAGGGCAGCAAGCGUGAAAGGAAUGCAGUGCUGAGAUGGCAGAGCUCUCCCUCACUGUGAGGAAGACUAGUACUCUGAAUGAUGUGUGGGGAGCUUUUAGCGCCCGUAUUGGCAGCAGAAAAAGCAUCACCAAAGUUGGUGCUACACGCCACUAGUGGAGUAGUCGUUCAGUGGCUACAGAGGGCUGAGAACAACAUCUGAGGACAACUCCAGCAAGUCAACUCCAUCACCACCAUCACCAACCCUGUCCCAACUCGACUACCACCCAGCUCGACUACCACCCAGCUUGUUUGUUUGUUACUUUUCAAGCAAUUAAAGAUGUUGUUGUUUUGUUUA
Molecule: long non-coding RNA, 547 nt
Organism: Coregonus clupeaformis (lake whitefish)
Lineage: Eukaryota; Metazoa; Chordata; Actinopteri; Salmoniformes; Salmonidae
Exons: 2
Source: RefSeq, a predicted model, not a curated record